ACCCAGUCUCGUCAGAUCAGCGAAGUCAAGCAACAUUGGGUCAAGUUAGUACUUGGAUGGGUGACCGCCUGGGAAUACUUGAUGCUGUAGGUAA
Molecule: ribosomal RNA, 94 nt
Filed under: Pseudodiaptomus poplesia
Lineage: Eukaryota; Metazoa; Arthropoda; Copepoda; Calanoida; Pseudodiaptomidae
Source: RNAcentral